AGAGUUUGAUCCUGGCUCAGGACGAACGCUGGCGGCGUGCCUAACACAUGCAAGUCGAACGGGGUGAUUUCUUCGGAGAUUACUUAGUGGCGAACGGGUGAGUAACGCGUGAGUAACCUGCCUUUCAGUGGGGGACAACAGUUGGAAACGACUGCUAAUACCGCAUAAUGUUUCGAGAGGGCAUCCUUUUGAAACCAAAGAUUUAUUGCUGAAAGAUGGACUCGCGUCUGAUUAGCUAGAUGGCGGGGUAACGGCCCACCAUGGCGACGAUCAGUAGCCGGUCUGAGAGGAUGAACGGCCACAUUGGGACUGAGAUACGGCCCAGACUCCUACGGGAGGCAGCAGUGGGGAAUAUUGGGCAAUGGGGGAAACCCUGACCCAGCAACGCCGCGUGAAGGAAGAAGGCCUUCGGGUUGUAAACUUCUUUUACCAGGGACGAAGAAAAUGACGGUACCUGGAGAAAAAGCAACGGCUAACUACGUGCCAGCAGCCGCGGUAAUACGUAGGUUGCAAGCGUUGUCCGGAUUUACUGGGUGUAAAGGGCGUGUAGGCGGAGAUGCAAGUUGGGAGUGAAAUCCCGGGGCUCAACCCCGGAACUGCUUUCAAAACUGCAUCCCUUGAGUAUCGGAGAGGCAAGCGGAAUUCCUAGUGUAGCGGUGAAAUGCGUAGAUAUUCGGAGGAACACCAGUGGCGAAGGCGGCCUACUGGGCUUUUUACUGACGCUGAGGCUCGAAAGUGUGGGGAGCAAACAGGAUUAGAUACCCUGGUAGUCCACACUGUAAACGAUGAUUGCUAGGUGUGGGGGGGCUGACCCCUUCCGGGCCGGAGUUAACGCAAUAACCAAUCCACCUGGGGAGUACCGCCGCAAGGUUGAAACUCAAAGGAAUGGACGGGGCCCGCCCAAGCAGUGGUUUAUGUGGUUUAUUCGAAGCAACGCGAGAACCUUACCAGGUCUUGACAUCCGACUAACGAGGCAGAGAUGCGUUAGGUGCCCUUCGGGGAAAGUCGAGACAGGUGGUGCAUGGUUGUCGUCAGCUCGUGUCGUGAGAUGUUGGGUUAAGUCCCGCAACGAGCGCAACCCCUGCCAUUAGUUGCUACGCAAGAGCACUCUAAUGGGACCGCUACCGACAAGGUGGAGGAAGGUGGGGACGACGUCAAAUCAUCAUGCCCCUUAUGACCUGGGCUACACACGUAAUACAAUGGCCGUUAACAGCAGGCAGCGAACCCGCGAGGGGGAGCAAAACCUCAAAAACGGUCUCAGUUCGGAUCGCAGGCUGCAACUCGCCUGCGUGAAGUUGGAAUUGCUAGUAAUCGCGGAUCAGCAUGCCGCGGUGAAUACGUUCCCGGGCCUUGCACUCACCGCCCGUCA
RNAcentral lists this ribosomal RNA (1369 nucleotides) under uncultured bacterium. RNAcentral's name for it is "16S ribosomal RNA". It matches the Rfam family "Bacterial small subunit ribosomal RNA". The record is from RNAcentral.